This 482-nucleotide ribosomal RNA is filed under the name uncultured bacterium. RNAcentral describes it as "partial 16S ribosomal RNA". It matches the Rfam family "Bacterial small subunit ribosomal RNA", at positions 30 to 507 of the family's 1533-position model. The record is from RNAcentral.
AUUGAACGCUGGCGGCAUGCUUUACACAUGCAAGUCGAACGGUAACAGGCCGCAAGGUGCUGACAAGUGGCGCACGGGUGAGUAAUGCAUCGGAACGUGCCCAGUCGUGGGGGAUAACUACUCGAAAGAGUAGCUAAUACCGCAUACGAUCUAUGGAUGAAAGCGGGGGACGGUAAGGCCUCGCGCGAUUGGAGCGGCCGAUGUCAGAUUAGGUAGUUGGUGGGGUAAGGGCUCACCAAGCCAACCAUCUGUAGCUGGUCUGAGAGGACAACCAGCCACACUGGGACUGAGACACGGCCCAGACUCCUACGGUAGGCAGCAGUGGGGAAUUUUGGACAAUGGUCGCAAGCCUGAUCCAGCAAUGCCGCGUGCAGGAAGAAGGCCUUCGGGUUGUAAACUGCUUUUGUACGGAACGAAACGGCUCUGGUUAAUACCCGGGGCUAAUGACGGUACCGUAAGAAUAAGCACCGGCUAACUACGUG